UACGGGGGGAGCAAGCGUUGUUCGGAUUUACUGGGCGUAAAGGGCGCGUAGGCGGCGUGACAAGUCACUUGUGAAAUCUCCGGGCUUAACUCGGAACGGUCAAGUGAUACUGUCGGACUAGAGUACAGAAGGGGCAACUGGAAUUCUCGGUGUAGCGGUGAAAUGCGUAGAUAUCGAGAGGAACACCUGCGGCGAAGGCGGGUUGCUGGGCUGAUACUGACGCUGAGGCGCGGAAAGCCAGGGGGAGCGAACGGG
RNAcentral lists this ribosomal RNA (255 nucleotides) under uncultured bacterium. Its description in RNAcentral is "partial 16S ribosomal RNA". It matches the Rfam family "Bacterial small subunit ribosomal RNA", at positions 524 to 776 of the family's 1533-position model. The record is from RNAcentral.